GAGGGUGUAGCUCAAUUGGUAGAGUGCUUGCUUAGCAUGCAUGAGGUCUGGGGUUCAAUCCCCAAUACCUCCA
RNAcentral lists this transfer RNA (73 nucleotides) under Camelus bactrianus (Bactrian camel). It matches the Rfam family "tRNA". From Rfam's summary of the family: Transfer RNA (tRNA) molecules are approximately 80 nucleotides in length. Their secondary structure includes four short double-helical elements and three loops (D, anti-codon, and T loops). Further hydrogen bonds mediate the characteristic L-shaped molecular structure. tRNAs have two regions of fundamental functional importance: the anti-codon, which is responsible for specific mRNA codon recognition, and the 3' end, to which the tRNAs corresponding amino acid is attached (by aminoacyl-tRNA synthetases). tRNAs cope with the degeneracy of the genetic code in two manners: having more than one tRNA (with a specific anti-codon) for a particular amino acid; and 'wobble' base-pairing, i.e. permitting non-standard base-pairing at the 3rd anti-codon position. Lineage: Eukaryota; Metazoa; Chordata; Mammalia; Artiodactyla; Camelidae. RNAcentral also lists the same sequence under 3 other names. The record is from Rfam by way of RNAcentral.